Molecule: unclassified non-coding RNA, 245 nt
Filed under: plant metagenome
Description: partial contains small subunit ribosomal RNA, internal transcribed spacer 1, and 5.8S ribosomal RNA
Rfam family: 5.8S ribosomal RNA (bases 197-245)
Source: RNAcentral
UCUCCGUUGGUGAACCAGCGGAGGGAUCAUUACAGGACUCGCAAGACUCCUACAACCCUGUGAACUUAACUAUAAGCACGUUGCUUCGGCGGGUGUCUCGGAGGGGGUUCUCCCUCCCCGAGACGCUAAACCCGCCGGCAGCCUACUAUACUCUGUCUCUUUGCGUUGGCAUCUCGAGUACAAUCAAACAAGUUAAAACUUUCAACAACGGAUCUCUUGGUUCUGGCAUCGAUGAAGAUCGCAGC